CAAAAACUGUUAACUGAACUGAUUUGUGCAGUAUCUCACAGUUCAGCUUCCAGAAUCCACUGCCAAAUACUGGCACAUUGAAAGUAACACCACAUUGCAAACUAUCAUGGUCCAAAAACCAAACUGGAGAUGCUGCACAAGAAUCCACACAGAACAUCCAAAAGAUUGCAGUGUGCUAAAUAAUUGUCAUAGGAAAACAUCGGUUAUGUAUAGAACAUAUUAGGAGGCUGUGUGGUCCAGUGGUUAAAGAAAAGGGCUUGUAACCAAGAUAUCCCCGGUUCAAAUCCCACCUCAGCUACUGACUCACUGUGUGACCCUGAGCAAGUCACUUCACCUCCUUGUGCUCCGUCUUUCAGGUGUUGAAGAUCAGUACUAUCUGACUGUCCUAUUCAUGGGAACCAGCUCGGCCUCAGUGAUGUUUGGGAUGUUAACUGACAAUGCAGUACACUGUAUCAAAGCAUACAGAGCAGCACUGAAAUGUGUCAUGCCCAACAGUGUACAGUGACAUGUCUGUCACAAUCAAUUCGAUUGGCGAGACAUGGGAGCAUUUUCACUUUAGCGAUGUGGCAUCUUUAGUUACUUGGAUGAAGUCUUCAGAAAGCGAAGAUGGGUUGCUUUUCUGAAGUCCAAAGAUGUGCACACCACAAAAGUCUGUCCCCCUGAAGCAGUACCUACAAGAUGAAAUAGCUGGUUUCAGGCAGUAAAAUACCACGCAGAGCAUAUUUGAUCACUACCAGGACUUUUUUGAAAGAAAAAUCAGCACAGGCUGUGACAAACCUUCUGAUGUUACUUAAGUCAGGAGAAAUUGACUUUCUGAAAUUUGACAGCUUUCAUGUCUGAAGCUGGUAACAGCCCUGACCAUUUUUUGAGGGUACCCAGCACCCUACAGCUGUCUCAGCUUCCAACAUCAUGGAAGACCUGGGGUCUAUUGCAUUGUGGAACAGCCAAAACCUGUGGGUGUGGUGAAGAAACUAACACUUUUGGAUGACCUUACCAUGAGAAGAGAAAUAUCCUGGACAAUCUGCAUGAGCUUGCUUUUUUACCAAAUUCUCCAAACAGUGGGAUGUCCAUCCUGCAAAUGAAGUGUUUUGACUAAUGUGUGUGUUUUGAUCCCAGGCAGACUCCAGCCAUGCAACAAAACGGUGAUCAGUACAGAAGCCGACACCUCUUGCCCACCCCUCACCAGAGCUGUGUGUGAACAAUGGGUGGUUCUACGCAACACUCUGAAUGAGCCCAUCCCUGAUCCACUGGAUCUUUCAACUUACUGGAAGGUCAUGAAGGGAAGAGUGCCCAAAGUAGCAGAGGUUGCCCUACCUUGAAUCUCCCCUGUUACCUCUGUAGACAGAGAACCUUUAUUAAAUAUAAAACUUUACUUGGAAGAGAGGGAGUCACUUUCUGAGGAAAACAACAUGAAAAAGCUAAACUGAUAUGUACCACAAUGGAGAUGUCUGCCAGAGAUGGUAAAAAUAAUUACCUUUUAAGUUAAUCAAUUUGCAAUGUUGCCACCAAGCAACAAACUGUUCAUUUGAUAGUUUAUAUUUCAUUUGAAAUUAAUAUAAGCAUUCCUUCAGAAUAUAGGAAGCAAGAAAGUACUGAGUAAUUUAGAAUGGUACCAAGAACUGCUGCAAGGAUUAAUUUUCUGUUCAGUAAAUUCAUAUAAAUAUUAAAAUUGACAGAGGCUCUUAAUUCUGUGGACUUGUUACUGUUCAAUUAUGUCAGCUUGGACAUAUUACCGAGUGCUACUUUUAAAGUGACUUAAAGUUUACCAUAUACUGUACCUGCAAUACCUAAUUACAAAAUACUUUAAAUUAUAAAAGAUACAAAGCAGCUAUAUUUGUUAGACACACAGAUCUGGGCCAACCAUCUCGCAAGCUACAGCCGUGCGCGCGCCGCGGCCAGGGUGAAAUACUUCUCUGAAAUCAUAACUAUGGGACACGGUAAACCCAAUGUUCUCUUUUAAGACCAUUGAGUAAAUCCUACAUCCAUCCAGACACCGACAGAUCCAUCUCCCAUUCAUCCUCAACUCUUCCCUGUCAUGUUUUCUCCUCUUUCAGAACAAAAUUGACACAUCUAUAAUACGCUCUCCCACCACAAACCCAGUGUACUACUUGACCACCUUAACGCUGCUCUGGUUGCCCUUCCUAGUUGCUGUUACUAUUUCAUGCAUCAUGCAUUUUCCACUGUAUUUAGUGUGUGUUUUUUUUUUUUUUUUUUACUGUAUAGCAUAUAUUAUGCAUUUCUCUGUAUUAAGUAUUAUGGUUUUACUUGUUACUGCAUCUUGUAAAGUGCUUUGUAAUGGUGGUCCACUAUGAAAGGCGCUACAUAAAAUAGAUUGAUACAACUUGAAUACAGUUUACCAUACGUGUUAAAUUGUCUAAUUCCUGUGUUCAAAAUUUAAAUACCAGAAUUUUGUAAAUUUGAAAUACCAUUUAAAUGUAUUUAAAUCCUCUUUUGCUGUGGGCUGCAUCAUGCUCCUGGAAUGUUUGACCAAAAGACAACGCGAAUUCACAAGUGGUCUUUUAUAGUGACAAUCGGCUAGUUCAAUGAUUGGUUCAAAGAUAACAUUCAUCAAUUUAGAACACGUGGUGCAAUUAAACUCGGGUUUUUGGUUUAGCGCUGUGUGCUGUUCGACAAUCACCAACAAGCCUCAGUUAUACAAUUAGUUAUACAAACAAAAAUCUGAAUGUGGUUUUCAAUCCAAAAUUUAAUAGAAUACCUGUAAUGGAUGAAUGAAUGUUAAUAAAGAAACAUAAUACCCUUGCAAACGUAGCUGAACUUUAAUUACAUUCCAUUAUUAUAGUAUUAUACAGAUAUUAUAGUAUUGCAUAGUCUUUCGAUUGCGUCUCCAUCUUCUGAAGGCGGCUGUGGUCCAGUGGUUAAAGAAAAGGGCUUGUAAGCAGGAGUUCCCCGGUUCAAAUCCCACCUCAGCCGCUGACUCAUUGUGUGACCCUGAGCAAGUCACUUAACCUCCUUGUGCUCCGUCUUUCGGGUGAGACGUAGGUGUAAGUGACUCUGCAGCUGAUGCAUUGUUCACACACCCUAGUCUCCAAGUUGCCUUGGAUAAAGGCGUGCGCUAAAUAAACAAAUAAUAAAAUAAUAAUACCCAACGCUUGCUUUCCUGUUGGCUUUGGAUCCCAGUAU
Long non-coding RNA from Acipenser ruthenus (sterlet), 3141 nucleotides. RefSeq lists it as uncharacterized. The transcript is spliced from 3 exons. The record is from RefSeq and is a predicted model, not a curated record. NCBI's taxonomy places the organism in Eukaryota, Metazoa, Chordata, Actinopteri, Acipenseriformes, Acipenseridae.